UUUCGAUUCCACCACCAUUGCGCUCGCUCUCUAUUGUCACCGCCGUCGCCGAUUGCUCUUCGUUGUCACCGCCGUCGCCGAUUGCUCUCCGUUGUCACCGCCGUCGCCGAUUGCUCUCCGUUGUCACCGCCGUCGCCGAUUACUCUCUGUUGUCACCGCCUUCUCCAUUGCCAAAUCAUCUGCAUUGCGGUUUGAUUUUCUUUUCUCUCUCUUUCUCUGUCUCCGAUCGAUCUCUCAGUUUACGUCAUCGCAGUUUUGGUUUCGUUUCUCGCACUUUCGGUAACGUCACACUCCGAUUUCUGGAUUCACUUUUGGUCUCCAAACACGUGAAAUCCUUAGUCGAAAUUCGAUCCAGUUUGACGCAAUUCCUCAAAUCUGAAUCAGUAUCCAUUAUUCAAUCAAUCGCCGCAGAAUACAUCAACGAUAAGCUUCUCGUUAGAGUUCUCCCUUUCGCUCUCGUUGAAGAUCAAGAGGUACUUCUACGAGUUGUUUGGCUUUGAGAUACGAGGCUUUAGUUAUUCGAGAAAUCAAAUCCGCUAGGUUUCAAUUGCUUCAAGUUUCGCCCGUAGAAUGGUUAAAAUUUGUGGAGGAUGCUGUGCAGAACGGUUUUCAUGCAGAUGCAGACUUGCAGUUAAGGCUUUCUUUGACUUCACUGUCCCUUCUGUUUGGUCUUCCUGAGUUCUCUCACCUUGGUUGGGGCCACUGGUUUACAUUGAGGGACUUAGAACUUGUUUAUCAAGGCCAGCUGAUCAAUGGGAAUCCAGUGGCUAUUAAGAUGCUACUAAAUAAUAUUGGACAAGCUGAAAAGGAAUUUAGAGUGGAUGUUUAGGCUAUUGGGCAUGUGAGGCACAAGAACUUGGUUAGACUUUUGGGUGUUUACAUUGAAGGCGGUCGCAGGCUGGCUUACUUGCACGAAGGCUCACAAGUCGACAUUGGAGGCUGCCAUUACCGAGUACAUGCAGCAACCAAAACAGAGGGUGAGACUCUUGUCAUGGAAGACAAGACCACUUUUGGAGGAAGUUGAAUUGGUUAAGAACGACAUCAGGGAACUUGGGCACUGCAUAUUGAUUUGCACAACGCUCAUGAUAUAUCUACAAGUUGAUAAAUUAGCAGGGUAGAUAAGUCAUGUAGAUACUAGUUCUAAAUUCUUUUACGGUUGUGUUGUUGGUGCCUCAAUAUUAAAAGUUGACUGGCUUACUGAUUUAUUUAUUUCAGUCAUGAUGCUGCAAGUUGCUUAAUUAGUUUGCAGAUUUAAGAGGGAUAAUCUUGUUGUAUUACUUAUAUAAAGUUCGGUCGAUACAAUCUGGGUUAUCUUGAUGUGUCUAUUUUGUGGUAUGAGAGCAAGGACUUGGGUAGUGGUUACAUUGUAAUGUUUUGAUUUAAUUGAGGUUUCAUUUCGUUGAUCUAUAUCUCGGUAAUGUUAUUCAUCGUCCAUCUCUUGUUUAUAAUUGAAGUGUUUCCUUAGAUCAUUACAAGUGUGGCAUAUUGGGUAAUUAUUUGACUUAUGUUCCUAUAUUUUUUUUAUAUAUAUAUUUAAGCUACAAUGCUGAUAUGAUGCUAUUGUCCUUUAAUUUUUUACGAUUCAGGGUAAUAAGGUUUAUGAUAAAGUUUGAAGGUUCAUUCAAAAGUGGCAACAGUGGCUGCUUUGUUUUAGAACAUGUUGAGCAUGAGCGACCUGAGGUAAUUGUUUGUAGAGAUUUAUGUAACCUUGUCUGAUUUUGUAUCUUUGCGUUUCCGUCAAUGUUCUCUGUGUCUUAUCGAUUUGCUUCUCUGUUCUAAUUGAUCUGCAAUUAGAUCCAAUAUUGCAUCUGAUUUAUGUAAUCGCGUGUUUCUGUCAUCACUCUUUGUCUCCGAUUGAUUUUGACUUAGAGUUAGUUAAUGAUGAACUUUUAUUUUUAUCCCAAGUGAACCUUUAAUAGCUCAAACUAUUACAUUGACUAUAUGUUGUUAUAUGGUAUAAGGCAUGGUUUAUCCAAUAUAUAAGCUGAGUUUUGUUGAA
Long non-coding RNA from Trifolium pratense (red clover), 1999 nucleotides. RefSeq lists it as uncharacterized. Lineage: Eukaryota; Viridiplantae; Streptophyta; Magnoliopsida; Fabales; Fabaceae. The transcript has 8 exons. The record is from RefSeq and is a predicted model, not a curated record.